AGCGGCAGACGGGAGAGUAACACGUGGGAACGCGCCCUUUGGUUCGGAAUAACCCAGGGAAACCUGGGCUAAUACCGGAUACGCCCUUACGGGGAAAGAUUUAUUGCCGAAGGAACGGCCCGCGCCCGAUUAGCUAGUUGGUGAGGUAACGGCUCACCAAGGCGACGAUCGGUAGCUGGUCUGAGAGGAUGACCAGCCUCACUGGGACUGAGACACGGCCCAGACUCCUACGGGAGGCAGCAGUGGGGAAUAUUGGACAAUGGGCGCAAGCCUGAUCCAGCCAUGCCGCGUGGGUGAUGAAGGCCCUAGGGUUGUAAAGCCCUUUCGGCGGGGAAGAUAAUGACGGUACCCGCAGAAGAAGCCCCGGCUAACUUCGUGCCAGCAGCCGCGGUAAUACGAAGGGGGCUAGCGUUACUCGGAAUUACUGGGCGUAAAGCGCACGUAGGCGGAUUGUUAAGUCGGGGGUGAAAUCCUGGAGCUCAACUCCAGAACUGCCCUCGA
Molecule: ribosomal RNA, 501 nt
Filed under: uncultured bacterium
Lineage: Bacteria
Description: bacterial SSU rRNA
Rfam family: Bacterial small subunit ribosomal RNA
Source: RNAcentral